This 10913-nucleotide long non-coding RNA is filed under the name Olea europaea (common olive). Its description in RNAcentral is "long non-coding RNA (OEUR_LNC008401)". Lineage: Eukaryota; Viridiplantae; Streptophyta; Magnoliopsida; Lamiales; Oleaceae. The record is from RNAcentral.
AGGACUUGUAUGUCGAGUGAUGAGUUUGUUUCACUCAUAUUUUUGCACAAUUUUAGUUUAAUUAAAUGCUAGAUCUUGUGAGUAUAUAACGUUUUUGAUGUGUUUAUUAGUGUUGUUUUGAAGAUUAGGAGAAGCGAUGUGAAAAGAGGUAUUAAAGUGGACGAAGAGGCAGUGCCUAAGCGCUACGAAACUGAAAAAAAGAUGAAAUUUGGACCCGAGAGACAGUGCCGCAACCAUAGCGCCGAGGCGCUAUCAUCAGCGCCUAGGCGCUGCAAUUGAAUAUCUAGGGCGCGUUUUUUUGGACCGUUUUUAAAUCCAUAAAAACCCUACUUCUACAUAAAACGGAAGGGCAGCUGUAAAUACAUCUUUCUCAUACUUUUGAAGGGUUCUUGACAUAUUGGAGAGAAGACAACAAGAAGAGAGAUUUAAAAGAGAAAUUCAAGAAGAUUAACACCAAACAAUUGAAGAUUAGAAGCAUUCAUUGGAAGAUGAAGGAUAUUUUGGUGCAAGAAUUCUACUUUUUCUUCUAAAUUUUUAUUACAAAUUCAGUGAUGUAUUCUAAGACAAAUUCCUACUUUUCUUGUAUUAUGAGCAGCUAAAUUCAUUGUUUGGGGGAAUAAUGUAACCAAUUGGGAUCUUUUACAUUCUGUUAUUAAGACUUUCAAUUUUUAAUUUUUUCAUGUGUUGAUUUUGCUAUGAGUUGAAUGCAUUAAAUUAUCUGAUCAAUAAUUUGAUGAUUUUUGUGAAUUCUUUGCAAAUAGAGAUAUGAGUCUAGGAUUUAGACCGUGUAGUAAAAUUCAGUACAUUGGUAUAACGAGUAGAGAUACCUAUAUCAUUUAUUGCGGUCAUAAUUGAAUUCCUAAGACAUAGAACUUGUUUAACUAAGUUGAAUUUGUAUAGAGAUAUAAAAUUUAAUUAGUUGAAUAGGCUCAAUGAGAACUCGAAAGAGGUAAAUUGAAUACAAUAGGAGAAUUUGAUCGAGCACUAUAUUAGAAUUGAGUUUUAAUUUGAGAUGUAAAGGUGAUCAAUUGGUGAAGUUAUUCUACCCUAACAUCGAUUCAUUAUUUGAUUCUCUAACCAGUCGUGUGAACAUUCAUUUAUUUUCUAGAAUUUAGAUUAAAAUCCAGAUUUUACAACCUUUAAUUUGUUUUAGUCAAAUAGUAGUUAAAGAAAAAUUGAAUUAAGUGAUAGAAAAUAGUCCUUGUGGGAUCGACAAUUCGGACUCUUAGUACGGGUCGUACACUUGUGAAACAAAAUUUCACAACAAAUUUUUGGCGCCGUUACCGGGGAUUAUUUCUUCUAGUCUCAAUUAAUUUUUAUUUUAAUUGUUAUUUGAUUUUUUUAUUUUUCCUUUAUUUACGGAAAAUUGUAUUCAUUGUAUUCUCCAUGCCCAAGGCGACGAUCUUGAACCGUUUGAUUCGGAGAUACAACGUACCUUCAAACGAAGACGCAAAGAACACAAACAAAAACAGCAACGUCGAAUGGCUGACAAUCAACAAAUCCAUAUUUCUAUUCAACCGAUUGGACAAAUAACCGCAAGAGUGGCAACACCGGAAUAGCAACAUGAGAGAGGGAAAAUAAAUGAAGGUGAUUUGCCAGUAUCAAUGUUCCUGACACCUAUAGCAGCACCCAUGCGCUCCAGUAUUGUGCAUCCAGAUUUUGGGGUGAAUAACUUUCAGAUCAGGCCAGAUUGGAUUAACUUGAUGAGCAACACUCUGCAAUUCUACGGGCUACCUCAAGAGAAUCCAAACACGCAUAUCUCUAGAUUUCUCAGAAACUGUCAGAACUUUCAUGCUCCGGGGGUCAAUGAAAAUGCUAUUAAACUAUGACUAUUCCCAUUUACAUUGAGAGAUGCUGCAUUGGAGUGGUUAGAUGUUGAGCCUCACACCAGCAUUACUACAUGGGAAGAACUAACCAGGAAGUUCUAUAAUAAAAUUUUCCCACCAACGAGGGUAGUUAAAAUCAGAUUGGAAAUUCAAACUUUUCAACAGAAAGAGGGAGAAAGCUAUCGCGAAGCAUGUAAUAGGUUUAAUCAGAUGAUGAGAAAAUGCCCAAACCAUGGAAUUACUAUAGGUAAUCAAGUGCAAUACUUCUACACUGGACUUAUAUCGCUGUCAAAAUCUCAAGUUGAUGCCUCAGUUGGAGGAUCAAUUAUAGGAAAAUUUGUGUAGCAAAUCAUGAAACUGUUUGAGUUGAUUGCCACUAUACAUUCAAUGUUCUCAUCGAAAAGAGUGGUGCCACCGAAGAUAGGAGGAAUGUAUGAGUUAGACAGCACAGCAGCUACCAACACCCUAAUAGUAGCAUUGACAAAACAAGUGGAGUUAUUGGUGAAAUCACAAACGAAAGGAGCACAUGCAGUGACCGUUGGUCCAUCAUGCGAGAACUGCGGGGCUAAUCAUCUGAAAGAAAAUCGCACAUCUAUAGGCUAUCUCGACGAACAAGUCAAUUUCAUUCAGAAUGGGUUUCGAAAUUUUAAUCCAUUUGCUCAAACGUACAACCCAGGAUGGAGACAAUACCCAAACUUCAGAUGGUCGGAUAAUCAACAAGGGAACAGUUCAAAUAAUGCCCAACAGGAGAAAAAACCAAGUUUGGGGGAGAUGUUCAACCAGUACAUACAGAAGAUUGACAAGGUAUUUUAGUAGAUUGACACUAACUUUCAGAAUCAGCAAGCAUCAAUCAAGAAGUUGGAAACACAAAUUGGUCAGAUAGCUUAAUAGCUUGCAGAACGCCCACAAGGGACAUUGCCAGGCAAUACAAUGGUCAAUCUAAAAGAGCAAGUGCAAGCUAUUACUACCAGGAGUGGGGUGCAACUUUCAGAAAUACAUGUAAAGAGACUAGAGCAAAAAGAAAAGGAAAUAAUGGGUAAAGAGGUUGGGAAAGAAGUAGAAUUUGAACAACCAACUGAUAAGGAGAACGAAAGAAAAGAAACACCUGCAGUGAGCGCUCCCAACCCCGUGAAGGCUUAUGUGCCACCAAUUUUCUUCCCUCAAAGGUUACAAAGAAAGAAGUUGGAUAAUCAGUUUGCCAAGUUUGUGAAGAUUUUCAAGAAACUGCACAUUAAUAUUCCUUUUGUAGACGCAAUUGCCCAAAUGCCCAGCUAUGCAAAAUUAUUGAAAGAGAUCCUAUCUAACAAAAGGAAGCUAAAAGAACAUGAGGCAGUAUGCUUGAAUGAGGAGUGUCGUUCAAUACUAUUGAGAAAGCUACCUCCUAAACUAAAAGACCCAGGGAGUUUCACUAUAUCGUGCACAAUUGGUUCUAAUUUCUUUGAACAUUCUUUAUGUGAUUUAGGUGCCAGUGUUAAUUUGAUGCCUCUCUCUGUCUACAAGUCUCUUGGAUUAGGAGACACAAAACCUACAACAAUCUAUUUGCAACUAGCCGACAUAUUGAUCAAACGACCAAAGGGAAUUAUUGAAGAUGUGCUAGACAAAGUUGACAAAUUUAUUUUUCUGGCUGAUUUCAUUAUUUUGGACAUGGAAGAGGACUCAAAUAUUCCUUUGAUCUUGGGAAGACCCUUCUUGGCUACUGUGAGAGCAUUGAUUGAUGUUUAUGAUGAAAAAAUGAUUAUUUGAGUGGACAAUGAGUAAGUGAUAUUCAACGUGUUCAAGGCAAUGAAACACCCAUUGACUUCCGAAACUUGCUGCCAAGUUGAUGUUCUUGAAAAGCUUGUGGCGGACACAUUUGAUAUAGAGCAUCACACAAAUCUUUGUAAGGCAGAACUUGCUCAAUUGGAAGCAACAAAUGCAGGAAAAGCUGAAUGUGUUGUCAACUUAGCCGAACAACCCAUAGGAAGAAGGCAUUGGCAGUAUGAAUCUCUAGGUGACAACCCUUCUCCCUCGGUACCCUCAGUGGAAAAGGCAUCCAUUCUUGAACUAAAGCCCUUAUUUUUCCAUCUUCGUUAUGCAUAUUUGGGAGAAUCUUCAACACUGCCAGUAAUCAUUGCAAAUGACAUGACAAAAGAAGAGGAGAAUAAAUUGUUGGAGGUACUCAGACAGCACAAAAUGGCAAUUGGAUGGACAAUAGCUGACAUAAGAGGGAUCAGUCCAAUUCUUUGCAUGCACAAGAUUUUAAUGGAGGAAGGGUCAAGGGCAUCAGUGGAAGGACAACGCUGAUUGAAUCCAACCUUGAAAGAAGUUGUGCGAAAAGAAGUGCUGAAAUUACUGGAUGCAGGAAUAAUUUAUCCUAUAUCUGAUAGUUUGUGGGUGAGUCCUGUACAUGUUGUCCCUAAAAAGGGUGGAAUCACAGUGGAGAAGAACGAGAACAAUGAGCUAUAUCAACAUGGUUAGUGACAGAGUGGAGGGUAUGCAUAGAUUAUAGAAAGCUAAAUAAUGCAAUCAGAAAUGACCAUUUUCCAUUGUCAUUCAUUGAUCAGAUGUUGGAAAGGUUGGCAGGACAUUUUCAUUAUUGCUUUCUGGACGGAUAUUCAGGGUACAAUCAGAUAGUAAUUGCUUCAGAAGACCAAGAGAAGACAACCUUCACAUGCCCUUAUGGAACGUUUGCGUUUAGAAAAAUGCCUUUUGGUUUAUACAAUGCACCAGCAACCUUUCAACGAUGCAUGAUGAUCAUCUUUUCUGACAUGGUAGAAAAGUACAUUGAGGUUUUUAUGGACGAUUUUUCUGUGUUUGGAGAUUCCUUUGAUGAUUGUUUGGAGUGGUUGGCUCUUGUAUUGCAAAGAUGAGAAGAGAAGAACCUUGUGCUUAAUUGGGAAAAAUGUCAUUUCAUGGUAAAGGAAGGAAUAGUACUGGGACAUCGAAUUUCUACAUAGGGAAUUGAAGUGGACAAAGCCAAAAUACAGGUGAUUAAGAAAUUGCAAACACCUAAUUCAACAAAGGGGAUUAUGAGUUUUCUGGGACAUGCAGGGUUUUAUAGAAGAUUCAUUCAAGACUUUGCAAAAAUUACAAAACCGUUGUGUAACCUGCUGGAGAAAGAUAUACCAUUUCAAUUUUCUGAUGAGUGUUUGAAAGCCUUCAUCACUUUGAAAGAAAAAUUGACAUCGGCACCUGUGGUAGUGGCUCCAGAUUGGGAAUUGCCUUUUGAGUUCAUGUGUGACGCCAGUGACUUUGCAGUGGGGGCAGUGCUUGGACAACGCAACAGAAAAGUAUUUCAUGUUAUCUACUACGCUAGCAAAACUUUGAAUGAUGCUCAAAUCAACUAUGCAAUAACUAAAAAGGAAUUGCUUGCAGUUUUUUUGCUUUUGACAAAUCCAGUUCUUAUUUGAUUGGGUCCAAGGUGAUAGUUUAUACAGACCAUGCAGCUCUGAAGUAUUUGUUUGAGAAGAAGGACGCGAAACCAAGGCUAAUUCGCUGGGUGCUAUUACUACAAGAAUUUGACAUUGAGAUUCAUGAUAAAAAAAGGAACAGAAAAUCAGGUAGCGGAUCACUUAUCAAGGAUAGAGCAAUAGCAGGAUUCAGAUGAUAUGAAUAUUAAUGAGGUUUUCCCAGAUGAACAGUUACUACAAGUAGAAAAAACUCCAUGGUGUGCAGGCAUUGUUAAUUACUUAGCCAGUGGCUAUAUGGAUCCGGAUCUCACCUAUUAGCAAAAGAAGAAGCUUGGUCAUGAGACAAAAUUCUAUUACUGGGAUGAUCCAAAUUUAUAUAGGAAAGUGGCGGAUCAAAUCAUUAGGAGAUGUGUGCCUGAGGAUGAAAUGAAACCGAUCCUUUUAUGAGUACAUGCUUCGGCUUACGGAGGGCACUUUGGCCCCACUAAAACAGCAGCAAGGUGCUUCAAUGUGGUUUCUUUUGGCCUACAUUAUUCAAGGACUGCCACAGUUUCUGUAGGUCAUGCGAUAAGUGUCAAAGAACAGGUAACAUAUCAACACGUUACAAGAUGUCACUUAACAACAUUUUGAAAGUGGAAAUAUUUGAUGUCUGGGGGGUUGAUUUUAUGGGUCCGUUUCCAUCAUCUUACAACAAUUGGUACAUCCUGGUUGUAGUGGACUAUGUUUCAAAAUGGGUAGAAGCUAAAGCAUUGCCUACAAAUGACGCAAGGGUGGUGGUGGAUUUCAUAAAGAAACACAUAUUUAACCACUAUGGAUCAUCUAGGGCCAUUAUAAGUGAUGGUGGAACUCACUUCCGCAAUCGGUUGUUCCAGGUAGUUUUGCAUAAGUAAGGGGUGUAACAUCGAAUUGCCACUCCUUAUCACCCUCAGACAAGUGGACAGGUGAAAACGUCAAACAGAAAAUUGAAAAGAAUUUUGGAGGUUACCGUGAAUGCAUCUCGCAAGGAUUGGUCAAAAUAACUGGACGAUGCCUUAUGGGCAUAUCGCACAGCUUACAAGACACCUAUAGGAAUGUCCCCAUAUCGACUAGUCUUUGGGAAAGCAUGCCAUCUACUAGUGGAGUUUGAGCACAGAGCGUACUGGGCAUUGAAGCAUUUACACAUGGACCUUGAAAAGGCUGGAGAAACAAGAGUACUCUAGCUACAUGAGUUGGAGGAAUUCAGAAGGAGGCAUAUAAGAAUGCAUCCAUCUACAAGGAAAUGACAAAGCAGUGGCACGACAAGAACAUCCGGCAACGAAUUUUUCGAGUGGGGGAUCAAGUGCUAUUAUAUAAUUCCCGGCUUAAGUUUUUUCGGAAAAUUGAAUUCUAGAUGAUCCGGUCCUUUUACGAUCUCUCAGGUGUUUCUCUAUGGGAUAGUUGAAUUACACCAUCCAACUAAAGAAAAUUUCAAAGUAAAUGGCCAACGCAUUAAGCAUUAUGUGAAGAUUUCCCCACCGCUAAAGAGAGUCUCGAUCUAGCUGUUCUCGAAUAACUGCGGCACUAUGUCCAGCUAAUGACUUAAAAGAAGCGCUUCUUGAGAGGCAAUCCAAGCUCUACCAUUUAUUUGAUUAUUGGUUUUUGCUUUGAUUUUGUUGUUCCUUUAAUAAUUUAUGCUAUCGUAGUAAUACUUUCUUUUGUUUUUUUUUGUUUUGUUUUUUUUUUUUUUUGUAGGAGAAUCCACAAAGGUUACAUAUUGUAGAAUUUGAGUUCUACAAUGAAAAUGAAUGAGUGUGGUAAGGAGGAGGAGUUUAUUAAAAAAAAAAACGAAAAGGGCAGUAAUGCAGCGCAUAGGCGCUGCGAGUCCUUCCCCCUUACAAUUUAUUUAUUUAUUUUUACUUCUUUUCUAUUUCCUAUAACCACAACCCCUCUUCUUCCUCAGAAUACGAGAUUUUCCAACCCCUCUUCCCUCUCAUCUUCUUCCCCAAACCCCUUCAACUUACCCCUUUUUACCUCCUCUUCAACCAUUCUAAGGUACACUCUUUCCCUCUCUUUCCUUAUUUAGUUUUUUUUUUGUUGAAUUUAUUUUAUCACCUCAUCUACAUCACAGUUCUUUCAAUUACACAUAUUCUCGCCCCCUCCCAAUCCCCCUUGUUGUUUUCAACAUUUCAUUGUUGCUAAGUGUGAAUUCAUUAAUUCCUAUUAGUUUCCACAACAUCAUUCCAGGUAUGGUUAUUUUUUGCUCCCUAUUUUUCUCUCUCUUACAUGAUAGUUGAUGUUUAUAUGUGUCUAUUUUUGAUAAUUAUGUUAAGAGAAGGGCUUGCUUUGUUGUGGUAUCAAGAAAUUUGUGUAUGGUGCGAAUAAUGUGGCAUGAAUUACUUCUAAAUUAUGGGCAAUUUUUGGUGGGAAUUUGCUGCUUUCAAAGUGUUUAUUGGAUUGCCUAGGUUAACUUAGUUGGGUACAAAGGAGCUAUUGUGGCUAUUGUGCUAAUUGACUUAUGUGGAAAUUGCCAUGUAGAUGAUCGUGAAUCGAAAUUAGGUUUAGAAUACAUCUAUUGCACAUUCGAUCAUAGUUCCCUCUUAUGGCUAGAUUUUAAGUCCUGCAUUAUCUUCCUUUACUGCUGUUUUUGCUAAUGGUUUGCAUGUUCUACACUUGCACAGGUCCAAUGCCGCCUAAAAAGAGAUCUAAAGCUGCAGCCUCCUUUUCUAGCUCAUUUGACAAGAGCAAAUUCAUUAGUGUUGAGGCCGCUAAACGAUAUAAUAACCUGGUGGUCCACAAGACCUGUAUCCCUGAACGUGAUUUUUACAAUUAUAUGACAGAGCAGAUAGGUCGGCGGAACUGCCAAUGCGAAGGAGCAUUGAGAUUUCCGAGUGUUUGUGCGGGGUAAGUGGAUACCGUUUGAUAGAACCUCCAUCAACAUGUUUUAUCAUUUGCAAGAUAUUGAAAAUGACGAGUACUCUAGACUUCGUGACGAGGAUGUUGAUCCUAAUGAGGUCAUUUGAGUCUUGGCCACAACUGGUACUACAUGGAAACGUUCAGAGACAUAUAUAAUUAACUUUCCUGCUUCUGGUAUGACUUCGGGUUGUAAGGCUUGGCAUCACUUCAUUUCUGGCAAACUUAUUUCCAGUAGCAAUUUAAGUGAAGUAACAAAAGAAUGAGCUAUCCUUAAUUAUGCUAUUCAGUGCCACCUAUCAAUUGAUGUUGGUAAAGUUAUUUACAACAUCUUACACACUUAGAAAGGGUCGAUGACAGGUGGUCUAGGGCACCCAUCAUUGAUUUAUGAGCUUUGUUUAGCGGGUGGUGUUGUCACAUACCCGACUGAGGAGGUUGUGCACCCCAAACCGUCAAUCACAUGAGCACGUACUUGGAAGUUCUUACGCUGUUCUGAAUCCACCAGUGCUCCACCCCCUCCUCGGAGCGACCAGCCGCCCCGAUCAUGUCGACCGGCCCCAGAUAGUGACCCCACUUCCAACCUUGCCGCUAAGCUUCAUGACAUACAAUUGAAAAUGAAUUUGAUGCAAAAUACUUUGUGCGAGCAAUUCCAUUAUCAACAUGAGUUCAAUGCGGUCCUGGGUUCGAUUUACUCCGAUCGAGCAUUUCCUCAGUCGCCACUCCUACCUGAUCAUGCUGCCAAUCCAAUUCUGAAUACCGAGGACGACGAUGUCGAGAACGACGAUUAAUGUUGUCCGUCUGGUAAGUUCCCUCCCCAUUUUGUUUCUAUUUCACAUUGAGGACAAUGUUUCAGUUAAGUUUGGGGGUGAAUAAAUUUGCUUACGUUGUUUAGUUUCUCAAAUGCUUGCAUGUGAUUUUUUGUUUUAUGUGUUCAUGUGUUUAUUCAAAAAUAAUAAUAAUAAUAAUAAUAAUAAUAAUAAUAAUAAUAAUAAUAAUAAUAAUAAUAAUAAUAAUAAUAAAAUUUAUAUAUGUAUUUUCAUCUUCAGCAUGCUUGUGUGAGUUAGAUAGUCUUAUUAGCUAUGAUGAAUAUAUUUGAGAGCAUGUAUUAGUUUAUGGAUUGUGGAUGAAUCAUAUGUCUUAAUUGGAUUUUCUACUUAUAUAUAUAAAGCAGUAUAACAUUUAUGCACGAAUAUUAAGUUGAGUGUCGUACAGGAACAUGAGGGCUCAUGCACAUAGGCUAAAGAGAUGACUUAGGUGUGUAAUCCCGUAACCUAUGAAUGUCAAUACCCCUUAACCGUAUACAUUAUAAUUUGGGGCAUUCUAACCGGCGAAAAAAAUGAUUUAAGAUUGUGGUGAUUCCGUGCAUGUGAAAAAGAUUGUGUGGAGUGUAUUUAAUUUUCUGGUAUAAGCUUGGUGAUUAUCGAAUGCUAGAAAACUAAUCCCUAUAAAUUUCGCUUCUUUUUAUUAGAGAAGAAGCAUUGCAUGUAUUCAGCUGAGUCUCACAUUGCACCUUUUUGACUCGUGUUAUUAAGUUCGUAGGGGUCUCUUGAAACCUGGUACCCUUUGGUAUACAAAAAAUUGGGGAGUUACCGACCUAACACUCGCUACAGGGGUCAAGAAGUGGAAAAAAUGAUGAGGUAAAAAAAAAAAAAAAACCUAAUCUUGGGGGCCUAGAUAACUAGUGGGUUUGAAUCACUAAGUAUAAAUUAGAUUGUUAAACACUCAUAAAUUGGGAGAAUCAUUACAUGAAUGAAUUGUUGAUGUUGCCGGUUGAACUAACCCAAAUUAGAGUGGUGUGAGAAAAUCUUAAACAAACCUGAACUUUAGAAUUACACCAUGGUAGGAGAAUAAAAGAACUGAGUUUGGGGGGUGUGUGAAUCUUACGAACGAAGAAAGGAAAUAAUUGACCAUUGAGGGUUGGGAAGUGAACCAACUUGUGAAUGUACGGCGCUACACUUGACCCUCCACACACACACAUACCCGCUUCGCGUUGUAUGAGUGGAAGUUUGGUUCUUGCAUUGUGAUUUUAACACCAUUCAUAAGUAUAAUAUAAUGUUAUCAAUGCUGAGCAAAAAAGACAAGCUGUCUAACUGACUAGUUGUGUGGGUAUCGUCCUUGGAUGAUUUUACUGUUUGGAUUGUUUGUUUGCUUGAGGACUAGCAAAUGGUUAAAUUUGGGAGUAUUUGAUGAGUUUGUUUCACUCAUGAUUUUUGCACAAUUUUAGCUUGAUUAAAUGCUAGAUCUUGUGAGUAUAUAAUAUUUUUUAUGUGUUUGUUAGUGUUGUUUUGAAGAUUAGGAAAAGCGAUGUGAAAAGAGGUAUUAAAGUGGAUGAAGAGGCCAAAAACACGGAAUUGAGGCAGAAAGACGGUGCUUAGGCGGUACGAAAUUGAAAAAAAGAUGAAAUUUGGACCCGAAAGGCAACGCCUAGGCUCCGCAACCAUAGUGCCCAGGCGCUGCGAUUGAAUAACUAGGGCGCGUUUUAUAAAUAAAAAUCAUACUUCUACAUAAAAUGGAGGGGCACGUAUAAAUACAUCUUUCUCAUACCUUUGAAGGGUUCUUAACAUAUUGGAGAGAAGACAAUAAAAAGGGAGAUUCAAAAGAGAAAUUCAAGAAGAUUAACACCAAACAAUUGAAUAUUAGAAGCAUUCAUUGGAAGAGGAAGGAGAUCUUGGUGCAAGAAUUCUACUUUUUCUUCUACAUCUUUAUUACAAACUCGGUGAUGUGUUCUAAGACAAAUUUUUACUUUUCUUUUUGUAUUAUGAGUAGCUAAAUUUAUUGUUAGGGAGAAUAAUGUAACCAAUUGGGAUAUUUUACAUUUUCUUAUUAAGAC